UUCUUGAGUGUGUACUUGUUAAGCCUUUUAAGAAAAAAGUUAUUAACUUAAGGAAUUAUAACAAAGAAGCAACACGUAAAUGGAUUUUCCAUUUUUUAGUGUGUAUCAAUCGAGUUUCUGACCUAUCAGCUUUUGAUGUUAGGGUAUUGGCCUAACAUGGCUAUGACGGGUAACGGGGAAUUAGAGUUCGAUUCCGGAGAGGGAGCCUGAGAAAUAGCUACCACAUCUAAGGAAGGCAGCAGGCGCGUAAAUUACCCAAUUCUAAAGAAGAGAGGUAGUGACAAGAAAUAACAAUACAAGGCCAAUCUGGCUUUGUAAUUGGAAUGACGGGAAUUUAAAACCUUCCCAAAACUCAAUUGGAGGGCAAGUCUGGUGCCAGCAGCCGCGGUAAUUCCAGCUCCAAUAGCGUAUAUUAAAAUUGUUGCAGUUAAAACGCUCGUAGUUGAAUUUCAAAGAAUCGAUAUUUUAAGUAACGCUUUGUAGAUUAAUCCACAUAACUGAUACUACGUAUCGACUUUGUGCGCAUUUUUCUACUUAUGUGUUCUUUUAAUUAAAAUGAUUCUUUUUAAGAUCUUUCUUUUUUGCUUCGGCAUUUUAGGAGAUCUUGUUACUUUGAGUAAAUUAGAGUGUUCAAAGCAAACAGAUUAUAGCAUCUUUAUGCGUUUGAAUACUACAGCAUGGAAUAACAAAAUUGAACAAGUCAGAAUUUUGUUCUUUUUUCUUAUUUUGGCUUAGUUACGAUUAAUAGGAGUAGCUUGGGGGCAUUUGUAUUCAGAUGUCAGAGGUGAAAUUCUUAGAUUUUCUGGAGACAAACAACUGCGAAAGCAUUUGCCUAAAAUACUUCCAUUAAUCAAGAACGAAAGUUAAGGGAGUGAAGACGAUCAGAUACCGUCGUAAUCUUAACCAUAAACUAUGCCGACUAGGC
RNAcentral lists this ribosomal RNA (925 nucleotides) under Plasmodium inui. RNAcentral describes it as "SSU rRNA". It matches the Rfam family "Eukaryotic small subunit ribosomal RNA", at positions 174 to 1051 of the family's 1831-position model. The record is from RNAcentral. Lineage: Eukaryota; Apicomplexa; Aconoidasida; Haemosporida; Plasmodiidae.